RNAcentral lists this ribosomal RNA (610 nucleotides) under uncultured bacterium. Its description in RNAcentral is "bacterial SSU rRNA". It matches the Rfam family "Bacterial small subunit ribosomal RNA", at positions 338 to 944 of the family's 1533-position model. The record is from RNAcentral.
CCUACGGGAGGCAGCAGUAAGGAAUAUUGGACAAUGGACGCAAGUCUGAUCCAGCCAUGCCGCGUGAAGGAUUAAGGCCCUCUGGGUUGUAAACUUCUUUUAUAGGGGACGAAAAAAGGGCUUUCUAGCUCGACUGACGGUACCCUAUGAAUAAGCACCGGCUAACUCCGUGCCAGCAGCCGCGGUAAUACGGAGGGUGCAAGCGUUAUCCGGAUUCACUGGGUUUAAAGGGUGCGUAGGCGGGCAUUUAAGUCAGUGGUGAAAUCUUCGAGCUCAACUCGGAAACUGCCAUUGAUACUAUUUGUCUUGAAUAUUGUGGAGGUGAGCGGAAUAUGUCAUGUAGCGGUGAAAUGCUUAGAUAUGACAUAGAACACCGAUUGCGAAGGCAGCUCGCUACACAAAUAUUGACGCUGAGGCACGAGAGCGUGGGGAUCAAACAGGAUUAGAUACCCUGGUAGUCCACGCCCUAAACUAUGGAUACUCGACAUUUGCGAUACACAGUAAGUGUCUGAGCGAAAGCAUUAAGUAUCCACCUGGGAAGUUACGACCGCAAGGUUGAAACUUCAAGGAAUUGACGGCUUGAGACGNGCGAGCGACGACGAGGAGGAGG